Molecule: ribosomal RNA, 488 nt
Filed under: uncultured bacterium
Lineage: Bacteria
Description: bacterial SSU rRNA
Rfam family: Bacterial small subunit ribosomal RNA
Source: RNAcentral
CGCUAGCGGCAGGCUUAACACAUGCAAGUCGAGGGGCAGCAUGACACGGAGAUUCGUCGUAAGUGUUGAUGGCGACCGGCGCAAGGGUGCGUAACGCGUGAGCAACUUGCCCGUUUCUGGGGAAUAACCGGUGGAAACGCCGACUAAUACCCCAUAGUAUAACGAAGAGGCAUCUUUUAGUGAUUAAAGAACUUCGGAUAAGGAUAGGCUCGCGUGACAUUAGCUAGAUGGCGGGGUAACGGCCCACCAUGGCGACGAUGUCUAGGGGUUCUGAGAGGAAGGUCCCCCACACUGGAACUGACGACACGGUCCAGACUCCUACGGGAGGCAGCAGUGAGGAAUAUUGGUCAAUGGUCGAGAGACUGAACCAGCCAUGCCGCGUGAAGGUCACGGCCCUAUGGGUCUUAAACUUCUUUUGUAAGGGAGCAAUAAGGUUCACGUGUGGACUGAUGAGAGUACCUUACGAAUAAGCAUCGGCUAACUCCGUG